AUGGACGCCGCCGGAGCACAGUGGAGCCUUGUCUUGGCUGGGGCCUUAGGUGYUGCAGUACUACGGUCAGGAAGAAAAGAGAAGCGGAGUGCAGGGUGCCAGAGCGUUCUCAGGAACAGUGAUGGAUGUGUUUCCAAUAACUCGAUAGCACACCGGACCGCAGGAGAAUGUGAUGGAGAACAGCAGCUGAGGAAGGAAAGGCCGUUGCAGCAGAUAGUUGGGGAGCCACAUGCUGAAGCAGAAGAGUUUCCCAGCCGGAUGCAUCUCACAGAUCCCCAGACAGCUGACGUUCCCAGGAAGGGCAAGUCCCGCUGCGUUCUGGGGCAGGGCUGUCAGGAUGUGGGAAGAGCCAGCCUUCGGAAGAAUUGCUGCUUAUCUUCCCUCCACCAAGACGCUGAAGCCCAGCACGACAAACUGUUAUGUCUGCCUUGGAUUGGUGACAUCGAGAACGAUACGUGCUGGAUCACCAGAACAGAGUGGGAGCAGCACAGCUUGGCUUCGGGAGCCUAA
This is a long non-coding RNA of Apteryx haastii (Great spotted kiwi), 510 nucleotides long. NCBI's taxonomy places the organism in Eukaryota, Metazoa, Chordata, Aves, Apterygiformes, Apterygidae. The record is from Ensembl.